This 295-nucleotide unclassified non-coding RNA is filed under the name Hevea brasiliensis (rubber tree). Lineage: Eukaryota; Viridiplantae; Streptophyta; Magnoliopsida; Malpighiales; Euphorbiaceae. The record is from RNAcentral.
AUGUGUGCAUGCAGAAAUUAUAUUAUAAAGAAUGUGUUCAAACAGGGAGCCAUAGAUUUCUUGAACUCUCUUUUAGGCCUACUUUCUAACCUCAAAAGGCAAAAGAAAUUUUAGUUUUCACUUUGAUGCCUAAUCCAACCUAUCUAAUUAAACAUGUGGUUCAUAGAAAUGAUUCUGCAGGCUUAAACCAUUCCUAGAAAUCACCUCAUGGCUAAACUCCUCAACAGACAUUCAAUACAAAGAAAUCCUUACUGUAGAUGAUUUAACACAAACUUGGCUUUUUUUUUUUUUUUAU